AGAGUUUGAUCAUGGCUCAGGAUGAACGCUGGCGGCGUGCCUAACACAUGCAAGUCGAGCGGUAUAUACUUAAGCAAAUCUUCGGAAGAGCGAGGGUAUAGAGAGCGGCGGACGGGUGAGUAACGCGUAGGCAACCUGCCCCAUACACAGGGAUAGCCUCGGGAAACCGGGAUUAAAACCUGAUAAUGCGAAAGAGCUACAUGGCUUUUUCGCCAAAGAUUUAUCGGUAUGGGAUGGGCCUGCGUCUGAUUAGCUAGUUGGUGGGGUAACGGCCUACCAAGGCGACGAUCAGUAGCCGACCUGAGAGGGUAAUCGGCCACAUUGGAACUGAGACACGGUCCAAACUCCUACGGGAGGCAGCAGUGGGGAAUAUUGCACAAUGGGCGAAAGCCUGAUGCAGCAACGCCGCGUGAGCGAUGAAGGCCUUUGGGUCGUAAAGCUCUGUCCUUGGGGAAGAAAAAAAUGACGGUACCCUUGGAGGAAGCCCCGGCUAACUACGUGCCAGCAGCCGCGGUAAUACGUAGGGGGCAAGCGUUAUCCGGAAUUAUUGGGCGUAAAGAGUGCGUAGGUGGUUUUGUAAGCGCGGGGUGAAAGGCAAUAGCUCAACUAUUGUAAGCCUUGCGAACUGUAAGACUUGAGUGCAGGAGAGGAAAGCGGAAUUCCUAGUGUAGCGGUGAAAUGCGUAGAUAUUAGGAGGAACACCAGUGGCGAAGGUGGCUUUCUGGACUGUAACUGACACUGAGGCACGAAAGCGUGGGGAGCAAACAGGAUUAGAUACCCUGGUAGUCCACGCCGUAAACGAUGAGCACUAGGUGUCGGGGCCGCAAGGCUUCGGUGCCGCAGUUAACGCAUUAAGUGCUCCGCCUGGGGAGUACGCACGCAAGUGUGAAACUCAAAUGAAUUGACGG
Molecule: ribosomal RNA, 908 nt
Filed under: uncultured bacterium
Lineage: Bacteria
Description: bacterial SSU rRNA
Rfam family: Bacterial small subunit ribosomal RNA
Source: RNAcentral